This 246-nucleotide long non-coding RNA is filed under the name Linum usitatissimum (flax). RNAcentral's name for it is "long non-coding RNA (LUSI_LNC000514)". Lineage: Eukaryota; Viridiplantae; Streptophyta; Magnoliopsida; Malpighiales; Linaceae. The record is from RNAcentral.
AAUGUUGAUUAGACCCUCCAAUCGAAGUCUCCUGUACUCCACCUUCUUCAUUAACACCUCUUUCAAUAAGGGUAUGUAUGAAAGUAAGUAGGUCAGUCGGAUCAACAGAAGGAUUUCUUUCAAUUCCCACAGCUAUAUGAGUCAGCAUAUCCUGUAAUUUUGUUUUUAAUUUCGGCGUUAAAUGCUUCUGCAUAUGAGCUGUUACAGGAGAAAGAAGCUUCAACGCAAUGCUUUUGAAGGUUAUGU